AUGCAAGAAACAAACUCCCACCGGCGCCAUUCCUGCUCUGUAACCCCACGCGUGCCCCGCUACCUGCGCACCGCCGCGGCCCUGGCCGCCGCGGUCCAGAGCGUCAUCAACACGCCCCCGCCGCGCCCCGAGUCGCAGAGCCUCCACGCGCAGCUCCUCACCUCCGGCCUCCGCCCCACCGCCGACCUCUCCGUCAAGUUCCUCAUCCUGCACCUGCGCUGUGGCUCCCACCGCAACGCCCGCGCGGUGUUCGACGGAAUGCCCCGCCCGACCAACGCCGCGCACAACUACCUCGUCGCCGGGUACUUCCGCCUGGGGCUCCCCUGGGAGGCGCUGGGGAUCGUGCGGCGGCUCGCGGCCUCCACGGGCCGCCUGGACGUGUUCGCGCUCUCCAUGGCGCUCAAGCUGUCGGCGGCGCUGGCGCUGCCCCGCGCGGCGAGGGAGGUCCACGCGCGCGUCGUCAGGUCCCCCGCGGAGCUCGACGACAUCCUCGUCGCGGCGUUGGUGGAUGCCUACGUGAAGAACGCGUCGCUGGGCUAUGCUCGGCGGGUGUACGGCAUGGUGCCGGAGCCGGGCAUGGUGUGCUCGACGGCGCUGAUCGUCGGCUGCAUGAACCAAGGGCUGUACAGGGACGCCGAGGCCAUAUUCAACGGGAUGGAGGAGAAGGACGUCGUGGCGUACAACGCAAUGGUGGAGGGGUACAGCAAGACGGAGGAGACCGCGGAGAGCUCGCUGGAGGUGUUCAAGGCGAUGCAGCGAGCGAGGUUCCGGCCGACGGUGUCGACAUGCGUGAGCGUGCUUGGCGCGUGCUCGCUCUUGUCGUCGCCGGAGCUCGGGGAGCAGGUGCACUGCCAGGUCAUCAAGAGCAAGGUCAUCUCUGACAUCAAGGCGGGGAGUGCGCUGCUCGACAUGUACUCCAAGUGCGGCCGAGUUGAGGAGGGGCGGAGGGUGUUCGACGGGAUGGCAGAGAGGAACGUCAUCACAUGGACUUCGAUGAUCGAUGGCUACGGGAAGAACGGCCUUUCAGAUGAGGCUCUCUUGCUGUUGGAGGAGAUGCGGGGGCAGCAGCGGGGCGUCAGGCCAAAUCAUGCCACAUUCCUGAGCGCCCUGUCGGCGUGCGCGCGCGCCGGACUGCUGUCCCGAGGCCAGGAGGUGUUCCAGAGCAUGGAGCGCGACUGCUCGCUCAAACCACGGAUGGAACACUACGCUUGCAUGGUGGACCUGUUGGGCAGGUUCGGCAGCGUGCGCCAGGCAUACGAUUUCGUCAGGGGGAUACCGGCGAGGCCAAACUCUGACGUGUGGGCGGCCCUCCUCGGGGCGGCCACCCUGCACGGCGACGUGGACAUUGCCAAUGUUGCGUCAAGGGAGGUAUUUGAGUUGAGCCGCGCCGGGAGACCGGGCGCCUACAUGGCCUUCUCCAACACCCUUGCGGCCGCCGGAAAAUGGGACUCUGUGCACCAAGUUAGAGAGAUGAUGAAACAGCGUGGCGUGCUCAAAGACGCAGCAUGCAGCUGGGUUGGGUCUGACAACUGUCCACCUGUCAACUGA
This 1548-nucleotide ribosomal RNA is filed under the name Triticum aestivum (bread wheat). RNAcentral's name for it is "partial small subunit ribosomal RNA". The record is from RNAcentral. Lineage: Eukaryota; Viridiplantae; Streptophyta; Magnoliopsida; Poales; Poaceae.